CGGGUGCACUGAUCCGGCCGGGCCUUUCCCUCUGUGGAACCCCAUGGCCUUCACUGGCUGUGCGGGGGAAACAGGACUUUUACUGUGAAAAAAUUAGAGUGCUCCAGGCAGGCCUAUGCUCGAAUACAUUAGCAUGGAAUAAUAGAAUAGGACGCGUGGUUCUAUUUUGUUGGUUUCUAGGACCGCCGUAAUGAUUAAUAGGGACAGUCGGGGGCAUCAGUAUUCAAUUGUCAGAGGUGAAAUUCUUGGAUCUAUUGAAGACUAACUACUGCGAAAGCAUUUGCCAGGGAUGUUUUCAUUGAUAAGGAACGAAAGUUAGGGGAUCGAAGACGAUCAGAUACCGUCGUAGUCUUAACUAUAAACUAUGCCGACUAGGGAUCGGACGAUGUUAUUUCUUGACGCGUUCGGCACCUUUCGAGAAAUCAAAGUGCUUGGGCUCCAGGGGGAGUAUGGUCGCAAGGCUGAAACUUAAAGAAAUUGACGGAAGGGCACCACCAGGGGUGGAACCUGCGGCUUAAUUUGACUAAACACGGGGAAACUCACCAGGUCCAGACACAGUGAGGAUUGACAGAUUGAGAGCUCUUUCUUGAUUCUGUGGGUGGUGGUGCAUGGCCGUUCUUAGUUGGUGGAGUGAUUUGUCUGCUUAAUUGCGAUAACGAACGAGACCUUAACCUGCUAAAUAGCCCGUACUGCUCUGGCAGUUCGCCGGCUUCUUAGAGGGACUAUCGG
RNAcentral lists this ribosomal RNA (729 nucleotides) under uncultured eukaryote. RNAcentral's name for it is "SSU rRNA". It matches the Rfam family "Eukaryotic small subunit ribosomal RNA", at positions 670 to 1426 of the family's 1831-position model. The record is from RNAcentral.